AAUAGCAAUGAUUCUAAAAUUCCUCGUUCCAAAUUGCUAUAGCCAUGACAUGAUAGACUCAUCUAUACACCCAUGGAAUAUGGGUGUA
Non-coding RNA from Spinacia oleracea (spinach), 88 nucleotides. The record is from Rfam. Lineage: Eukaryota; Viridiplantae; Streptophyta; Magnoliopsida; Caryophyllales; Amaranthaceae.